This 497-nucleotide ribosomal RNA is filed under the name uncultured bacterium. RNAcentral's name for it is "partial 16S ribosomal RNA". It matches the Rfam family "Bacterial small subunit ribosomal RNA", at positions 28 to 507 of the family's 1533-position model. The record is from RNAcentral.
GAUGAACGCUGGCGGCGUGCCUAAUACAUGCAAGUCGAGCGAACAGACGAGGAGCUUGCUCCUCUGACGUUAGUGGCGGACGGGUGAGUAACACGUGGAUAACCUACCUAUAAGACUGGGAUAACUUCGGGAAACCGGAGCUAAUACCGGAUAAUAUAUUGAACCGCAUGGUUCAAUAGUGAAAGACGGUUUUGCUGUCACUUAUAGAUGGAUCCGCGCCGCAUUAGCUAGUUGGUAAGGUAACGGCUUACCAAGGCAACGAUGCGUAGCCGACCUGAGAGGGUGAUAGGCCACACGGGAACGGAGACACGGUCCAGACUCCUACGGGAGGCAGCAGUAGGGAAUCGUCCGCAAUGGGCGAAAGCCUGACGGAGCAACGCCGCGUGAGUGAUGAAGGUCUUCGGAGCGUAAAACUCUGUUAUUAGGGAAGAACAAAUGUGUAAGUAACUAUGCACGUCUUGACGGUACCUAAUCAGAAAGCCACGGCUAACUACGUG